This 1400-nucleotide ribosomal RNA is filed under the name Salmonella enterica subsp. enterica serovar Arechavaleta. Its description in RNAcentral is "bacterial SSU rRNA". It matches the Rfam family "Bacterial small subunit ribosomal RNA". The record is from RNAcentral. Lineage: Bacteria; Pseudomonadati; Pseudomonadota; Gammaproteobacteria; Enterobacterales; Enterobacteriaceae.
CUACUGGAAACGGUGGCUAAUACCGCAUAACGUCGCAAGACCAAAGAGGGGGACCUUCGGGCCUCUUGCCAUCAGAUGUGCCCAGAUGGGAUUAGCUUGUUGGUGAGGUAACGGCUCACCAAGGCGACGAUCCCUAGCUGGUCUGAGAGGAUGACCAGCCACACUGGAACUGAGACACGGUCCAGACUCCUACGGGAGGCAGCAGUGGGGAAUAUUGCACAAUGGGCGCAAGCCUGAUGCAGCCAUGCCGCGUGUAUGAAGAAGGCCUUCGGGUUGUAAAGUACUUUCAGCGGGGAGGAAGGUGUUGUGGUUAAUAACCGCAGCAAUUGACGUUACCCGCAGAAGAAGCACCGGCUAACUCCGUGCCAGCAGCCGCGGUAAUACGGAGGGUGCAAGCGUUAAUCGGAAUUACUGGGCGUAAAGCGCACGCAGGCGGUCUGUCAAGUCGGAUGUGAAAUCCCCGGGCUCAACCUGGGAACUGCAUUCGAAACUGGCAGGCUUGAGUCUUGUAGAGGGGGGUAGAAUUCCAGGUGUAGCGGUGAAAUGCGUAGAGAUCUGGAGGAAUACCGGUGGCGAAGGCGGCCCCCUGGACAAAGACUGACGCUCAGGUGCGAAAGCGUGGGGAGCAAACAGGAUUAGAUACCCUGGUAGUCCACGCCGUAAACGAUGUCUACUUGGAGGUUGUGCCCUUGAGGCGUGGCUUCCGGAGCUAACGCGUUAAGUAGACCGCCUGGGGAGUACGGCCGCAAGGUUAAAACUCAAAUGAAUUGACGGGGGCCCGCACAAGCGGUGGAGCAUGUGGUUUAAUUCGAUGCAACGCGAAGAACCUUACCUGGUCUUGACAUCCACAGAACUUUCCAGAGAUGGAUUGGUGCCUUCGGGAACUGUGAGACAGGUGCUGCAUGGCUGUCGUCAGCUCGUGUUGUGAAAUGUUGGGUUAAGUCCCGCAACGAGCGCAACCCUUAUCCUUUGUUGCCAGCGGUCCGGCCGGGAACUCAAAGGAGACUGCCAGUGAUAAACUGGAGGAAGGUGGGGAUGACGUCAAGUCAUCAUGGCCCUUACGACCAGGGCUACACACGUGCUACAAUGGCGCAUACAAAGAGAAGCGACCUCGCGAGAGCAAGCGGACCUCAUAAAGUGCGUCGUAGUCCGGAUUGGAGUCUGCAACUCGACUCCAUGAAGUCGGAAUCGCUAGUAAUCGUGGAUCAGAAUGCCACGGUGAAUACGUUCCCGGGCCUUGUACACACCGCCCGUCACACCAUGGGAGUGGGUUGCAAAAGAAGUAGGUAGCUUAACCUUCGGGAGGGCGCUUACCACUUUGUGAUUCAUGACUGGGGUGAAGUCGUAACAAGGUAACCGUAGGGGAACCUGCGGUUGGAUCACCUCCUUACCUGAAAGAA